RNAcentral lists this long non-coding RNA (4403 nucleotides) under Panax ginseng (ginseng). Its description in RNAcentral is "long non-coding RNA (PGIN_LNC016360)". The stretch from base 188 to 332 matches the Rfam family "MIR168 microRNA precursor family". The record is from RNAcentral. Lineage: Eukaryota; Viridiplantae; Streptophyta; Magnoliopsida; Apiales; Araliaceae.
UCUAUCUCACAUCCGUUCUCAUUUUCUCUCUAGCCAUAGAUAGAGUUCUCUUCCAUUUCAUAUGAGUAGGUACAGCUCUGUUCUGUAUCUAUAAAUAUAUCUAUAUCUAUAUCUAUAUCAUACAUACACAUAUAUAUAUAAUAUAUUUGUAUAUGUAUAAACUUAUAUAUCUGUCAGGAUGUAUUUUGUUGCGGCGGUCUCUAAUUCGCUUGGUGCAGGUCGGGACCGUGUUAUAUGUAUGUGUAUAUAUACAUAUAUACAUAUAUAGGUAUAUGUGAGGAAGAUGAAUAUGGUCCCGCCUUGCAUCAAUUGAAUCGGAGACGGCCGCGAAUGUGAGUUCGGCGCGGCUGAAGAUUGGAAUCUGUUGGAUCUUCAGUUUUUUGGAUAUUGGAGGUUGAUUAUGGUUUGUUAUAAUUUUUUUUGUUUUGAAUUUCUUUUGUUUUAUAGUUGCUGAAUUUUCAUUCGGGGUUACUAUUUUUACAUGCGUUUGAUACACGGUUUCCUCUCACAUGAAGCUGGAACCUAUUUUAUGCUCUCUAGACCAUGGAGAAAUAUCGAAAACACAUGUAAAACAUCAAUCCCUUUCCAUUAUAUUAAUUGAUCUUUUCUUUCUUUUUUACUUUUUACUUUUUUGGAUCUGCAGGUAUAGGUUGAUGCAGGUAUAUACAUACUCAAUUGAAAAGUUCCUGAAAGUUCAUUUACGAUUUUUUCUUUAUGUUGUCGUUGCAAAUCUAUCUAUUGAAUUGGCUGUUUUGGCUUUUGUCGAAUUGGAUGUUCUUUUUUCAAAGUCAAUUUGUGAAAUCCUAUGAAAUGCAUAUUAAGAAAUAUUAAAAUUAGUAGUAUUUUUUAGCAAGUAUACAAUGAUUAUAUCUGUUUAUCUUAAAACUAAAUAAGUUAGUAUUGAUUUUGAAUAAGUCAAAAUGUAUCUCUAUGAUUUUUACAAGUUGGCAUCUUUGCAGGUUUUGCAAAGAAAGCUAAAUAAUCUCCACUGUUAUUGAAAUUUAUUUUCCAGUUUCUUAAAAGUUAGCUUAAUUUUCUUUUCUUUUUCUUGAUUCUUUUUAAUGAUAUAUCUGUCACUGUUGUGCCCAUGCACUCUGUUUAUUUUGGCCAUGGAGUUCAGAUAAAAUGUUAAUAUCUUUUUUUAGCGUAUGCAAAAAAGUUGAAUAAAUUUCAUUUACAGUUUGCUGUACUUCUAAAAAUACAUUAUGCAUUUGAUUUUCAAUUGAGUCUUUCUAAUGAAUUAUCUGUUUCUACUCUGCAAAUGCAAUUUUGUUUUCUUUUUACAUCUUAGCCAUCUUAAGAAAAGGCCAUCUUUUUCAUAAUUUUGUGUGUUUUUUUUUGAGUUUUGGAUCAAACAUUGUCUGUUCAAUUCAAAUACUCGGAUAACUAUACUUUUUUGGGAAUACUUUGCUGUGAUAAAAUACUAGGUGAACUAGUUGUAACAAUAAAUGAUUUUUUUCUAGAAAUGAAUAGCCCAUAGUUACUCUAGAAUAAACUAUAGCACUUCCAUUUUGAUAGAUUCUGCAGGAAUUUUGUACCAAAUUUUAGGAGGUGGUGAAAUGGAGAAAGGGAACGGACAUAAUAGGGCUGCUUAACAAAUUGUGCUCCUAGCUACUCAACUCUACUCAUUUAUGAAGUUGAGUAAAGUUCGAGUACUAUGUUUAUUGGCUCAUUGCCCAACUCCAUAAAUUUUCAGACUAAGUUCUAUAGUCAACCGAGUUUUAGACUUUUGAAUUUUUGUUAAUAUUAUUUUAUUUGUAAUAAUAAUAUUUGUAAUAUAAAAAUGUUUAAAUGCUCAGUAAAGCUUGAUUGAUCUCGAGCUACUUGAUAAGUAAUCGAGUUUGAAUUCAGAAAUUAGUUUUGUUACUCGACUUGAACUUGAUGAAUUUCUUAAUGAGACAAGCUCACGUUGUUACUAUACAACUUGAUAACAAUUCUAAUUGCCAAUACAGGUCUUACUUUUUCAGAGCGUAAAAACUCACUACCAAUACAAUUCUAAUUGCCAAUACAGGUCUCUCUCAUUGAGCAAUUAGUUUCUCUCUUUGGGCAAUAAACUACCAAUUUGUAAUUUUACUAUCCCCACUAUCAAAACUCAAUUUCAAUUGUUUUCAUUAGGGUUUUUAGUACUUCUGAUUUAUAUUUUUCUCAUAUGUAGUAAGUUCAACUUUCUAAUUGUAGGCUAAACAAAUAAAUCUAUCGAGUGGUUUGUUUUAAUUUAUCAAGUCAUCCUAAUCAUUGUUUUUAUUUCUCUUGUUGGAGUUUGAACUCAGUAGUGUUGAAGUGUUUCUAUGUUUAAACUAACCUGAAUCUCGGGGUAUUGAAUGGUGGUAGAAAAAUUGUUUCUAAUUUUGCAAGCCUAAUGGUAGAUAAUUGCAUAUAUUGUAAUGUAAUUAUGUAAAUAGAUAAGGGUAUAAAUAUUAAUUUAGCAAUAUAUAACUCUUUGGGGUGGGUUCAGAGCGAGGAAUGGGUCAAGGGAAGAAAAUACCAGCCCCUAUACAUCCCCAAGUGUAAUUAUUUGGUGAUUCCACAUCCCCUGCCCCUUACCUGAUCAAAGUCAAAAUCACCGCUCCAUUUGGUGCGGGGCAAAGGGAACACUCUGGGGACAAAUCAAAUUACCAUCCCUAAUCUAAUGUGGUGGACCUAUUGAUUAAGAACUCAGUUUUAGAGAAAGCUAGAAACUAUGAAUGCUUAGGUAAGGCUAGUGCAUGAAAUCACUCUUGCAUGAGUAAUAUACCAAAGUUCUUAUCAAAUGUAGCAGUAGUGUUUGUCAUCUUCAUGUUGGGACAUGUCUAGUUUUUUCAAAGUGUGUUCUGAGGAUGGCUUAGAUGUUGUCAUAUGUUGUGUCCUUUAAGUAUUAGCAUUACCAGGACUUCAUCUCAUGUCCGUAGUUGGUAGUUUGAGUAAGCUUCGUAGGGUUCUUUUGAAGGUUCAUUGUGUGGUAAAUUAGGGAUCAAUUGUCUGGUUCAUUGUGCUCUCCAUGCUUAUUUGAUGUGUAUAAGCCUAUUUCUCGCAUAUGUAGAUUUACUUGAUCAUGGGUGGUUAUACUUGAACUUUCUGAUGACAAUCUUUUAUUUGUCUUCUUCUUUUGACAAAUAAUCUCCCUUCUUCCCUCUCUUUUAAACUUUCUGAUGACAUAUAAUCUUUUAUGUCUUCUUAUAACAAAUAAUCUCCCUCCCUCCCUCCCUCCCUCCCUCCCUCUAAGAGAUGUUGUGACUCGAGUCUUGCAACAAAGUUUGUGAGUAGGACGAUGUCAGGUAUGAGUUAAUGCCAGCUUCAGUCAGCUUUCAGUUGAGCUGGUAUUAGGUUGCACUUGUACAAAUGCACAAUAACUUGGUAUUCGGAGGAGUUCAUAACCAGUUGUCAAGUAAUGGAUUGUAGAUUAUUUGUUAUUAGAUACUGACUAUAUAGCUCUCUAUUGAUGGCUGUGUGGAGUUGAUGUGCACAUUAACGUUUCCGUUAGAAAAAGUAUUACAAACCCUCAUUGUCGACUCCAUUUCACACAGCUUUUAUCUGGUAGGAUUAAUAACUGAAUUGGGUUCCCUGGCCACAUUGAGAAAUGAAUUUCUUAUGUUGAUUUGUCCUGUCUGGUGCAGCGACAGAGGGUAACUUUAAAAGUGGUUCAGCAGGAGAAGAUUGAUCAACUAAUUUGAUUCACCUUCUAGCUGUAAUAUUUGAAUUUGAGUUGAAACAACAAUUUGAGGAUAUUCUGGUGGAGACGAAUUAUAUCGCAGGUGUCCAUAAAUAUCUUGUUUUUCUUAUAUAACAAAGAUCAUGCCUGUUGCUCUCUGGUUUGGGUAUUUUUAUUAGGAUUUAUUUUUAGUAGGAGUGAAUUGUUUGGAUUUGAUUCCGUUUUUUCAGGUAGUUCAUUCAGUAUAAGUUGAUGAUUGCUGAUGUUACUUUGUUGAUGCAGAAAGAAGAGUGCGCAGAUAGAAAUAAUUGAAGAAAUGGUUUGUGGCACCGUUGCAAGGAAUUCACAAGUCUGAAGACUAAGACUUUGCUUCUUCAUUACAAGGAAUUGGCAAUACCAUCAGGUUGAAAGCUCAAAGUUCCAUAAAAUAAUAUUUAACCUCUUAAUCUUUUCAUGGAGAUUAUAAAAUCUCAUAUUCAUUUCCAAAAUCUGCAUUAUUUGGUUGCUGUUUUUUUCAAUGCUGUAGAUGAAGAUUGUCUGUCACACUUGUAGGAUUGUUGCUGAAUUUUAAAUUAAUGAUCAGAAAGGAAAACAGGUAUUAAUUAGUACUCUCUCUGUUCCUAAAAGAUUGUCGUUUUAGAACAAAAAAUUUGUUCCAAAAAGUUUGUUGUUUACAACUUUCAAGGAGAAUAAAUUAUUUAUUUUCUUAUAUUACCGCUACCUUCUCUCAUUGUCCCAAAAAAUUCUCUCCCUUAUUAAUAGUUUUCAAUUUCCC